RNAcentral lists this ribosomal RNA (497 nucleotides) under uncultured bacterium. RNAcentral's name for it is "partial 16S ribosomal RNA". It matches the Rfam family "Bacterial small subunit ribosomal RNA", at positions 28 to 507 of the family's 1533-position model. The record is from RNAcentral.
GAUGAACGCUGGCGGCGUGCCUAAUACAUGCAAGUCGAGCGAACAGACGAGGAGCUUGCUCCUCUGACGUUAGCGGCGGACGGGUGAGUAACACGUGGAUAACCUACCUAUAAGACUGGGAUAACUUCGGGAAACCGGAGCUAAUACCGGAUAAUAUAUUGAACCGCAUGGUUCAAAAGUGAAAGACGGUUUUGCUGUCACUUAUAGAUGGAUCCGCGCCGCAUUAGCUAGUUGGUAAGGUAACGGCUUACCAAGGCAACGAUGCGUAGCCGACCUGAGAGGGUGAUCGGCCACACUGGAACUGAGACACGGUCCAGACUCCUACGGGAGGCAGCAGUAGGGAAUCUUCCGCAAUGGGCGAAAGCCUGACGGAGCAACGCCGCGUGAGUGAUGAAGGUCUUCGGAUCGUAAAACUCUGUUAUUAGGGAAGAACAAAUGUGUAAGUAACUAUCCACGUCUUGACGGUACCUAAUCAGAAAGCCACGGCUAACUACGUG